This 72-nucleotide transfer RNA is filed under the name Bos taurus (domestic cattle). It matches the Rfam family "tRNA". Rfam says of the family: Transfer RNA (tRNA) molecules are approximately 80 nucleotides in length. The record is from Rfam by way of RNAcentral. RNAcentral also lists the same sequence under 5 other names. Lineage: Eukaryota; Metazoa; Chordata; Mammalia; Artiodactyla; Bovidae.
UCCCAGGUGGCUCAGUAGUAAAGAAUCUGCCUGCCAAUGCAGGAGAUACAGGUUUGAUCCCUGUGUUGGGAA